UUGGAUAUAGCUCAGUCGGUUAGAGCACAGCGUCUUGAUGCUGUUGUCGCGGGUUCGAUUCCCGUUAUCCCAC
This 73-nucleotide transfer RNA is filed under the name Lysobacter sp. ISL-42. RNAcentral describes it as "tRNA-OTHER". It matches the Rfam family "tRNA". From Rfam's summary of the family: Transfer RNA (tRNA) molecules are approximately 80 nucleotides in length. The record is from RNAcentral. Lineage: Bacteria; Pseudomonadati; Pseudomonadota; Gammaproteobacteria; Lysobacterales; Lysobacteraceae. RNAcentral also lists the same sequence under 4 other names.